AGAGUUUGAUCAUGGCUCAGAACGAACGCUGGCGGCGUGGAUUAGGCAUGCAAGUCGAACGCGAAAGAGGGGGCAACCCCUCGAGUAGAGUGGCGAACGGGUGAGUAACGCGUGAAGAACCUGCCUUCAAGAGGGGGAUAACACUCCCAACGGGGUGCUAAUACCGCAUGAGACCACGGGGUCGCAUGGCCCUGAGGUCAAAGGUGGCCUCUAUUUAUAAGCUACCACUUGAAGAUGGCUUCGCGUCCCAUUAGCUAGUUGGCGGUGUAACGGACCACCAAGGCGACGAUGGGUAGCUGGUCUGAGAGGAUGGUCAGCCACACUGGGACUGAGAUACGGCCCAGACUCCUACGGGAGGCAGCAGUCGAGAGGCUUUGGCAAUGGGGGAAACCCUGACCAAGCGACGCCGCGUGGAGGAUGAAGGCCCUUGGGUUGUAAACUCCUUUUGUCGGGGAAGAAGUGCGAUCAGGUGAAUAAUCUGGUCGUUUGACGGUACCCGACGAAUAAGCUCCGGCUAACUCCGUGCCAGCAGCCGCGGUAACACGGGGGGAGCAAGCGUUGUUCGGAAUCACUGGGCGUAAAGGGCGUGUAGGCGGAUAGGUAAGUGGGACGUGAAAUCCCUCGGCUCACCCGAGGACCUGCGUCCCAAACUGCCAGUCUUGAGUACGGGAGAGGAUGAGGGAAUUCCUGGUGUAGCGGUGAAAUGCGUAGAUAUCAGGAGGAACACCGGUGGCGAAGGCGCUCAUCUGGCCCGAUACUGACGCUGAGGCGCGAAAGCUGGGGGAGCAAACGGGAUUAGAUACCCUGGUAGUCC
This 814-nucleotide ribosomal RNA is filed under the name uncultured bacterium. Its description in RNAcentral is "bacterial SSU rRNA". It matches the Rfam family "Bacterial small subunit ribosomal RNA", at positions 8 to 796 of the family's 1533-position model. The record is from RNAcentral.